UGGCCUACCUUCUGUCAAAAGCCAA
RNAcentral lists this non-coding RNA (25 nucleotides) under Rattus norvegicus (Norway rat). Lineage: Eukaryota; Metazoa; Chordata; Mammalia; Rodentia; Muridae. The record is from RNAcentral.